This 498-nucleotide ribosomal RNA is filed under the name uncultured bacterium. Its description in RNAcentral is "partial 16S ribosomal RNA". It matches the Rfam family "Bacterial small subunit ribosomal RNA", at positions 30 to 523 of the family's 1533-position model. The record is from RNAcentral.
AUUGAACGCUGGCGGCAUGCCUUACACAUGCAAGUCGAACGGUAACGCGGGGCAACCUGGCGACGAGUGGCGAACGGGUGAGUAAUGUAUCGGAACGUGCCCAGUUGUGGGGGAUAACUGCUCGAAAGAGCAGCUAAUACCGCAUACGACCUGAGGGUGAAAGCGGGGGAUCGCAAGACCUCGCGCAGUUGGAGCGGCCGAUAUCAGAUUGGGUAGUUGGUGGGGUAAAGGCCUACCAAGCCUACGAUCUGUAGCUGGUCUGAGAGGACGACCAGCCACACUGGGACUGAGACACGGCCCAGACUCCUACGGGAGGCAGCAGUGGGGAAUUUUGGACAAUGGGGGAAACCCUGAUCCAGCCAUGCCGCGUGCGGGAAGAAGGCCUUCGGGUUGUAAACCGCUUUUGUCAGGGAAGAAAUCCUUUGAACUAAUACUUCGGAGGGAUGACGGUACCUGAAGAAUAAGCACCGGCUAACUACGUGCCAGCAGCCGCCGUAA